AUCACACCCCGGUCUCUUCUCCACAAAACUCUCCUCGACGGUUUCGAGAAGGCACUCUUGAUGGAUCUCAUGCAUAUGGAAACGAUCAAUUUGAAAAUGUUGAAGCUAUCAAUGAAGCUCUGCAAAAACUAAUUGCUGUACAGGUCAAGAAAGCUCUUGAAGCUUUUGCUAGUCACUUACCUGCUGCACCACUCACACCCACUCCAAAUAACAACACUCUGGAGAAUCCUCGUUAUGGG
This 239-nucleotide long non-coding RNA is filed under the name Nicotiana benthamiana. RNAcentral describes it as "long non-coding RNA (NBEN_LNC030324)". Lineage: Eukaryota; Viridiplantae; Streptophyta; Magnoliopsida; Solanales; Solanaceae. The record is from RNAcentral.